Molecule: ribosomal RNA, 795 nt
Filed under: uncultured organism
Description: bacterial SSU rRNA
Rfam family: Bacterial small subunit ribosomal RNA
Source: RNAcentral
AUAGCGGCAGACGAGAGAGUAUAAGAAAGGAACGUACCCCCGAGUGAAGGAUAGCCAGCCGAAAGGCCGGGUAAUCCUGCAUAAUCCCGCAAGGGCAAAGCUUUACGCGCUUGGGGAGCGGCCUUUCUCCUAUCAGCUAGUUGGUGAGGUAAUGGCUUACCAAGGCGAUGACGGGUAGCUGGUCUGAGAGGAUGAUCAGCCUCGAUGGGACUGAGACACGGCCCAUACUCCUACGGGAGGCAGCAGUUGGGAAUUUUGCACAAUGGAGGCAACUCUGAUGCAGCAACACUGCGUGAAGGAUGAAGGUUUUCGGAUCGUAAACUUCUUUUAUCAGGGAAUAAUCUUGAAGGUACCUGAUGAAUAAGCACCGGCUAACUACGUGCCAGCAGCCGCGGUAAUACGUAGGGUGCAAACGUUAUCCGGAUUUAUUGGGCGUAAAGAGCUCGUAGGUGGUUUGACAAGUUGGAUAUUAAAUCUCCCGGCUCAACUGGGAAGCUGUAUUCAAAACUGUCUGACUAGAGGUAUGUAGGGGCAGAUGGAACUUACGGUGUAGCGGUAAAAUGCGUAGAUAUCGUAAGGAACGCCGAUGGUGAAGACGAUCUGCUGGACAUCACCUGACACUGAGGAGCGAAAGCGUGGGUAGCGAUCGGGAUUAGAUACCCCGGUAGUCCACGCCGUAAACGAUGCAUACUAGGAAUUUGGAGUAUCGACCCUCUGAUUUUCGAAGCUAACGCGUUAAGUAUGCCGCCUGGGUAGUACGGCCGCAAGGCUAAAACUCAAAGGAAUUGACGGGGA